This 469-nucleotide ribosomal RNA is filed under the name uncultured bacterium. RNAcentral describes it as "bacterial SSU rRNA". It matches the Rfam family "Bacterial small subunit ribosomal RNA", at positions 30 to 490 of the family's 1533-position model. The record is from RNAcentral.
AUUGAACGCUGGCGGCAUGCCUUACACAUGCAAGUCGAACGGCAGCGGGCCUUCGGGUGCCGGCGAGUGGCGAACGGGUGAGUAAUGCAUCGGAACGUGCCAUUGAGUGGGGGAUAACGUAGCGAAAGUUGCGCUAAUACCGCAUAUUCUGUGAGCAGGAAAGCAGGGGACCGCAAGGCCUUGCGCUCUUUGAGCGGCCGAUGUCAGAUUAGCUAGUUGGUGAGGUAAAGGCUUACCAAGGCGACGAUCUGUAGCGGGUCUGAGAGGAUGAUCCGCCACACUGGAACUGAGACCCGGUCCAGACUCCUACGGGAGGCAGCAGUGGGGAAUUUUGGACAAUGGGGGCAACCCUGAUCCAGCCAUGCCGCGUGAGUGAAGAAGGCCUUCGGGUUGUAAAGCUCUUUCGGUCCGGGAACGGAAAUACGCAUGGUGGAAUACCCUGUGUGGAUGACGGUACCGGAACAAGAAG